This 1388-nucleotide long non-coding RNA is filed under the name Theobroma cacao (cacao). Its description in RNAcentral is "long non-coding RNA (TCAC_LNC002216)". Lineage: Eukaryota; Viridiplantae; Streptophyta; Magnoliopsida; Malvales; Malvaceae. The record is from RNAcentral.
CACAUGAUUUCGAUUGAAGUCAAAGCAUUAGCACAUGGUUACCCGUGGAUGGAUGAUAGGCAAUUGAUAUUGCCACCCUCAAACUAAACAGGAAAUAGUCGUGGUUGGAGCAUAAAAUUAUGUUAUUCCCUGAAAAAUACCACUAGUGUUUUGACCCAACUCAAAAGUAGAGAGAAUGUCGAGCUUCUAUGAAAUUCGUGGAGCUUCCUUCUUUUAAAGAAAAAAAGAUAAAAAAACUUUCGGGAUGAAAUCAUAGAAAGGUUUCUAAUUGACAAGUACCCGGUCACUACCUCUUUCUUUUUUAUUUUAUUCUGAGAGUGAAAGGAAAACAGAUUAAGAAAACAGCAAGGAAACUUGAAUUCAUUCGUGGAACAAAAUGAACGAGAAAGAAAAGGUUCCAGAACUACCGCGUUAUGGUUGCAUUGCAGAUUAUAUAUACAGAGUCCACGUGUCGUUUGCCCCUACGGAUUAGCGGAGUCGAUUACGCGUUGAAGCAACGCGUGGAAACCCUUCAAAUUCGGAGAUAUAUAUAAUAUAUAUAUCCAAAUUUUGAUUUAACGCAGUUGUUCGUACACCUCUCUCUCUCUCUCUCUCGCUCUCGCUCUGUAAGGCCUCUCAACUCAUCUCUUUAAUGUUGGCUUGUACCUUUUCUCUUAUCUCUCCCAGAUGUUCUUCUUUCAUAUAAAUAUUCGCUUCUUAUUUUAUGUAUUUUGUUGUUUUGAUGUCAUCUGAAACGUUGUUUCAUGUUUUGUGAUCGUUUGUCUUAACGUAUGCCGGCCCUGCUCCAUAAUCUUAUCAAAAUUCGACAACAUUCCCAGAACAUGGCUCCGUUUUCUGAAGAUCUCAAAAUUUGUUUAAUUUCUCAUCAACUCUUUGGGAAAUUUUUGUAUUAUCGCUUCCAAUUGAUACCUUUUUGCUUGUCUAGUUCUUGAUUGGAUCAAAAUGGCGACUUUUGAUUUGGGAAAUUUGUCGACAGAUGGAACUCUUUUUUUAAAAAAUUUUUGUAAUUUCUCGCUUGCUGGAACAAGUUUGUCUGAUCAUGGUAUCCUGAUCUUGAGUCCUGACAUUGUAUGUUAUCCUCCAUACGAAUGUUUGUGACUUGUUUACUUGUUGGGUAAUUCGGGAUUUAUGUACCAAUAUUUAUGAUUAUGUUUUUCCUUUUUCUUAUUUUGAUCAAAGUGUAUUAUGUCUUCACUUUCUAGAAAGCAGAAAUGUUAAAUGUCUUCUCAUCACUGCUUUUGCUAUUUGUGUCACAGGACUCAUUCUUGGUUGAAAAAACAUGGGAAAGGACAAGGACAAGCAUAAGCACGAUGACAAGGGUCUCUUUUCACACCACCAUGGUCAUGGAGGUUACCCUCCUGGUGCAUACCCUCCACCUCCUGGGGGAU